CGAGCGGACAGAUGGGAGCUUGCUCCCUGAUGUUAGCGGCGGACGGGUGAGUAACACGUGGGUAACCUGCCUGUAAGACUGGGAUAACUCCGGGAAACCGGGGCUAAUACCGGAUGCUUGUUUGAACCGCAUGGUUCAAACAUAAAAGGUGGCUUCGGCUACCACUUACAGAUGGACCCGCGGCGCAUUAGCUAGUUGGUGAGGUAAUGGCUCACCAAGGCGACGAUGCGUAGCCGACCUGAGAGGGUGAUCGGCCACACUGGGACUGAGACACGGCCCAGACUCCUACGGGAGGCAGCAGUAGGGAAUCUUCCGCAAUGGACGAAAGUCUGACGGAGCAACGCCGCGUGAGUGAUGAAGGUUUUCGGAUCGUAAAGCUCUGUUGUUAGGGAAGAACAAGUACCGUUCGAAUAGGGCGGUACCUUGACGGUACCUAACCAGAAAGCCACGGCUAACUACGUGCCAGCAGCCGCGGUAAUACGUAGGUGGCAAGCGUUGUCCGGAAUUAUUGGGCGUAAAGGGCUCGCAGGCGGUUUCUUAAGUCUGAUGUGAAAGCCCCCGGCUCAACCGGGGAGGGUCAUUGGAAACUGGGGAACUUUGAGUGCAGAAGAGGAGAGUGGAAUUCCACGUGUUAGCGGUGAAAUGCGUAGAGAUGUGGAGGAACACCCAGUGGCGAAGGCGACUCU
Molecule: ribosomal RNA, 686 nt
Filed under: Bacillus subtilis
Lineage: Bacteria; Bacillati; Bacillota; Bacilli; Caryophanales; Bacillaceae
Description: bacterial SSU rRNA
Rfam family: Bacterial small subunit ribosomal RNA
Source: RNAcentral